Molecule: transfer RNA, 69 nt
Filed under: Marmota monax (woodchuck)
Lineage: Eukaryota; Metazoa; Chordata; Mammalia; Rodentia; Sciuridae
Description: tRNA.Ala
Source: RNAcentral
GGAGUUGUGGCUCAGCGGUACAGUGCUCACCUAGCAUAAGCGAGGCACAGGGUUCAAUCCUCAGCACCA